This 468-nucleotide ribosomal RNA is filed under the name uncultured bacterium. Its description in RNAcentral is "partial 16S ribosomal RNA". It matches the Rfam family "Bacterial small subunit ribosomal RNA", at positions 28 to 507 of the family's 1533-position model. The record is from RNAcentral.
GACGAACGCUGGCGGCGUGCUUAACACAUGCAAGUCGAACGGAAAGGCUCCAGCUUGCUGGAGUACUCGAGUGGCGAACGGGUGAGUAACACGUGGGUGAUCUGCCCUGCACUUCGGGAUAAGCCUGGGAAACUGGGUCUAAUACCGGAUAGGACCGCACUUUGGUGUGUGUGGUGGAAAGGUUUUUCUGGUGUGGGAUGAGCUCGCGGCCUUUCAGUUUGUUGGUGGGGUAAUGGCCUACCAAGACGGCGACGGGUAGCCGGCCUGAGAGGGUGGACGGUCAAAUUGGGACUGAGAUACGGCCCAGACUUCUACGGGAGGCAGCAGUGGGGAAUAUUGCACAAUGGGGGAAACCCUGAUGCAGCGACGCCGCGUGGGGGAUGAAGGCCUUCGGGUUGUAAACUCCUUUCGCUAGGGACGAAGCUUUUUGUGACGGUACCUGGAGAAGAAGCACCGGCUAACUACGUG